Molecule: ribosomal RNA, 1335 nt
Filed under: Triticum aestivum (bread wheat)
Lineage: Eukaryota; Viridiplantae; Streptophyta; Magnoliopsida; Poales; Poaceae
Description: partial small subunit ribosomal RNA
Source: RNAcentral
AUGGAUUGGCCGGCUCUCACCUGCUGCACCGCGGUCAUGAUCCUUCUCUUCCUGCCGUUGAGUGCAUCCGACGACCGGCUUGUCCUCGGCAAGCCGCUCUUGUCGGACGCCAUCAUCGUCUCCGAUGGUGGUGCCUUUGCUUUGGGGUUCUUCGCCCCUUCCAACUCCACUCCGGCCAAGCUGUACCUUGGCAUAUGGUACAAUGGCAUUCCCGAGCUCACUGUGGUGUGGGUCGCCAACCGAGAAACCCAGCUCAUUAAGAACACUUCCUCUUCACCGAUGCUCUCGCUCACCAACACCUCCAAUCUCAUUCUCUCUGAUGGUGAUGGUGGCGGCCGUGUCAUCUGGACUACCCAGGUGGCCACUACCCCGGCCUCGUCUACCUCGACGGCGGUGCUUUUGAAUAACGGCAACUUCGUUAUUCGCUCGCCAAACGGCACCAUGCUGUGGCAGAGCUUCAAACACCUGACAGACACGCUCCUUCCAGGGAUGAAGAUCCGGUUUAGAUAUGUGAUACAUGGCGAAGAAGAGCGCCUGGUGUCUUGGAAGGGCUCCGACGACCCCUCACCAGGACAUUUCUCCUACGGUGGUGACACAAACACUUUGCUCCAGUUCUUCCUUUGGGACGGGGCGCGACCGGUGGCCCGCAGCGACCCGUGGACGGGCUACCUUGUGAAGACGGAGCGGCGGUACCAGCAGGUGAACACCAGCACAGAAGUCAUCGUCUACCUGGCCGUCGUCGACAGCGAAAAGGAAAUCUACAUGACCUACAGCCUCUCCGACGGUGCCCCACGCACCAGGUUUGUGCUAACUCACUCCGGUCAUUAUCAACACCACAGUUGGAGCAAUAGGUCGUUGACGUGGGAGGUCCUUGGGCAGUGGCCGUCCGCCGAAUGUAGCAGCUACGGCUACUGUGGCCCAUAUGGCUAUUGCGACGAGACAACAGCACCAGUCCCAACGUGCAAGUGCCUAGAUGGUUUUGAGCCGGCAAACAUGGAGGAGUGGACCAGCGGCAGGUUCUUGUCAGGGUGCCGGCGGAAACGGCCAUUGGGUGGGUGCGGUGACGGCUUCUUGGCCUUGCCAGGGAUGAAGUCACCAGACGGGUUUGCGCGCAUCGGCGGUAGUAGGAGUACGUCCGAGGAGUGCGCAGCUGAGUGCAACCGCAACUGCUCCUGUGUGGGGUACGCAACUGCUCCUGUGUGGGGAGACGUGGCAAGGUGCUUGAUGUGGGCAGGGGAGUUGAUUGACACUGGGAAGUUAGGCACAGAGCUCGGUGGAGAGACGCUCUAUCUCCGGCUUGCAGGCAUGGACGUAACUGCUGGUACCAAAUACUAA